RNAcentral lists this ribosomal RNA (715 nucleotides) under uncultured bacterium. RNAcentral's name for it is "bacterial SSU rRNA". It matches the Rfam family "Bacterial small subunit ribosomal RNA", at positions 7 to 719 of the family's 1533-position model. The record is from RNAcentral.
GAGAGUUUGAUCCUGGCUCAGGAUGAACGCUAGCGGCAGGCCUAAUACAUGCAAGUCGAACGGUAAGUUAAGUGCUUGCACUUAACACGAGUGGCGCACGGGUGCGUAACGCGUAUGCAACCUACCUUUUACAGGGAGAUAGCCCGGAGAAAUUCGGAUUAAUACCCCAUAGUAUCACCAGAUGGCAUCUGAAGGUGAUUAAAGAUUUAUCGGUAAAAGAUGGGCAUGCGUCUGAUUAGUUAGUAGGUAGUGUAAUAGACUACCUAGACGAUGAUCAGUAGGGGUUCUGAGAGGAUUAUCCCCCACACUGGCACUGAGAUACGGGCCAGACUCCUACGGGAGGCAGCAGUAGGGAAUAUUGGUCAAUGGGUGAGAGCCUGAACCAGCCAUGCCGCGUGCAGGAAGACGGCCUUCUGGGUUGUAAACUGCUUUUAUUGGGGAACAAAAAGGCCAUGCGUGGCAAAUUGCGUGUACCUAAAGAAUAAGCACCGGCUAACUCCGUGCCAGCAGCCGCGGUAAUACGGAGGGUGCAAGCGUUGUCCGGAUUUAUUGGGUUUAAAGGGUGCGUAGGUGGCUAAUUAAGUCAGUGGUGAAAGUCUGCAGCUCAACUGUAGAAUUGCCAUUGAUACUGGUUAGCUUGAGUAUAGACGAGGUAGGCGGAAUUCAUGGUGUAGCGGUGAAAUGCAUAGAUACCAUGAAGAACACCGAUAGCGAA